GGGCCAUAGCUCAGUGGUACAGAAUCUGCCUUGCAUUCAAAAGGUUGCGGGUUCAAUUCCCAGCAUCUCCA
Molecule: non-coding RNA, 71 nt
Organism: Podarcis lilfordi (Lilford's wall lizard)
Lineage: Eukaryota; Metazoa; Chordata; Lepidosauria; Squamata; Lacertidae
Source: the annotation of a GenBank genome assembly